Molecule: long non-coding RNA, 382 nt
Filed under: Rattus norvegicus (Norway rat)
Lineage: Eukaryota; Metazoa; Chordata; Mammalia; Rodentia; Muridae
Description: long non-coding RNA NONRATT019261
Source: RNAcentral
AUGUCUUGGUUUGGAUCCAAACCAGCUCCCAAGGGCAGCAUCCGGCCAUCUAUCUCCAACCCUCGGAUACCAUGGUCCUAGACCCACCCAAGGAUAGAGCUACGUGGGCUGACACUCUUCCUAUGAAAAGAAUACUGACACAGCAGACUGGGUUACGGGGCCAGUGUGGACUGAUGAGUAUGCAACUUUCCAGUCCUGAGAAAACUAGCAAGCAGACGGAAUGAUCUCUACGUAUAGCACCAAAUACACUCAAUUGCCUUCUUAAUGAAUGUACUCGUCUUGGAUGGGUUGCUGGUAAACCAUUUUAAAACUAUUUUUAUAGCAAAAGUUCUUCGCUAUUAUAAACAUGUCUUCUGUAUUAUAAAAUCCAUUUAAAAAGGAA